CACAAGUUCAAGCAGGUUUUCUUUCUUUCAGGUUUGAGAAAAAGACAAAACAUGUCACGCCUGUGGCUGGAAGUGUGUAUUUUUCAGAGGGGGCAUCUGUGGCUGGCAAGGCUCACAAGGCAUGGAAAGUCCUUGGGAUCAGGAGAGAAGUCAUGGAGGAUGCAACUGGUCUCCUUGCAGCCCCUUUCACUUGGCUGUGGGUAUCCCUCUGCUUGUUUCAGCACAACUUCCAUUCAGUGCAUGGAUGAACCUCUGUUGUUAACCAAGAACAGAAGACCCGAAAUCAUCCAGAACUCCUUAUGUUCACCACAACUGCAAACUGAAACAACUGCAGACAGCAAUGCUGAACUGUCAAAGCAUAUCAUAGAAAAAAACAAGGAAGAUACUUCUCCUUGGUAAGCAGAGGUAUGACAUUUCUUAUGUGUCUUUCUGGCUUCAUUUUUAAGAAGCAAAACAAACCAGCCCCACAUAUACUCUUCU
Molecule: long non-coding RNA, 480 nt
Organism: Coturnix japonica (Japanese quail)
Lineage: Eukaryota; Metazoa; Chordata; Aves; Galliformes; Phasianidae
Source: RefSeq, a predicted model, not a curated record